Molecule: ribosomal RNA, 468 nt
Filed under: uncultured bacterium
Lineage: Bacteria
Description: partial 16S ribosomal RNA
Rfam family: Bacterial small subunit ribosomal RNA
Source: RNAcentral
GACGAACGCUGGCGGCGUGCUUAACACAUGCAAGUCGAACGGAAAGACCCGGCUUUUGGGUGGUCCUCUAGUUGCGAACGGGUGAGUAACACGUGAGUAACCUGCCCUUGACUGUGGGAUAACUUCAGGAAACUUGGGCUAAUACCGGAUAGGAGCUCCUGCUGCAGGGUGGGGGUUGGAUAGUUUCGGCGGUUGGUGAUGGACUCGCGGCUUAUCAGCUUGUUGGUGGGGUAGUGGCUUACCAAGGCUUUGACGGGUAGCCGGCCUGAGAGGGUGACCGGCCAAAUUGGGACUGAGAUAAGGCCCAGACUACUACGGGAGGCAGCAGUGGGGAAUAUUGCACAAUGGGCGGAAGCCUGAUGCAGCCACGCCGCGUGCGGGAUGACGGCAUUCGGGUAGUAAUCUGAUUCUGCCUGUGACGAAGCGUGAGUGACGGUAACGGGUAAAGAAGCACCGGCUAACUACGUG